GUCAAUUACGUGCCAGCCGCCGCGGGAAUACGGAGGUGGCAAGCGUUGGCCGGAUUUAUUGGGCGUAAAGCGAGCGCAUGCGGUUCCUUAAGGCUGAUGUGAAAGCCCACGGCUCAACCGUGGAAGGUCAUUGGAAACUGGGGAACGUGAGUGCAGAAGAGGAGAGUGGAAUUCCAUGUGUAGCGGUGAAAUGCGUAGAUAUAUGGAGGAACACCAGUGGCGAAGGCGACUCUCUGGUCUGUAACUGACGCUGAGGCUCGAAAGCGUGGGGAGCAAACAGGAUUAGAUACCCGGGUAGUC
RNAcentral lists this ribosomal RNA (300 nucleotides) under uncultured Lactobacillus sp. RNAcentral describes it as "bacterial SSU rRNA". It matches the Rfam family "Bacterial small subunit ribosomal RNA", at positions 496 to 795 of the family's 1533-position model. Lineage: Bacteria; Bacillati; Bacillota; Bacilli; Lactobacillales; Lactobacillaceae. The record is from RNAcentral.